This 314-nucleotide unclassified non-coding RNA is filed under the name plant metagenome. RNAcentral describes it as "partial contains 5.8S ribosomal RNA, internal transcribed spacer 2, and large subunit ribosomal RNA". The stretch from base 1 to 105 matches the Rfam family "5.8S ribosomal RNA", at positions 50 to 154 of the family's 154-position model. The record is from RNAcentral.
GAAAUGCGAUAAUUAAUGUGAAUUGCAGAAUUCAGUGAAUCAUCGAGUCUUUGAACGCACAUUGCGCCCCCUGGUAUUCCGGGGGGCAUGCCUGUCCGAGCGUCAUUGCUGCCCUCAAGCACGGCUUGUGUGUUGGGCUUCCGUCCCUGGCAACGGGGACGGGCCCAAAAGGCAGUGGCGGCACCAUGUCUGGUCCUCGAGCGUAUGGGGCUUUGUCACCCGCUCCCGUAGGUCCAGCUGGCAGCUAGCCUCGCAACCAAUCUUUUUAACCAGGUUGGCCUCGGAUCAGGUAGGGAUACCCGCUGAACUUAAGC